Molecule: ribosomal RNA, 253 nt
Filed under: uncultured bacterium
Lineage: Bacteria
Description: partial 16S ribosomal RNA
Rfam family: Bacterial small subunit ribosomal RNA
Source: RNAcentral
UACGUAGGUGGCAAGCGUUAUCCGGAAUUACUGGGCGUAAAGCGCACGCAGGCGGUCUUUUAAGUUUGACGUGAAAGCUCCCGGCUUAACUGGGAGAGGUCGUUGAAUACUGGAUGGCUUGAGUUUGGGAGAGGGAUGCGGAAUUCCAGGUGUAGCGGUGGAAUGCGCAGAUAUCAGGAGGAACACCGAUGGCGAAGGCAGUUCUCUGGGCCGUAACUGACGCUGAGGAGCGAAAGCGUGGGGAGCGAACAGG